UACGUAGGGGGCUAGCGUUGUCCGGAUUUAUUGGGCGUAAAGAGCGUGUAGGCGGCCAGGUAGGUCUGGUGUGAAAACUCGAGGCUUAACCUCGAGAUGUCAUCGGAAACCAUCUGGCUAGAGUCCGGAAGAGGAGAGUGGAAUUCCAGGUGUAGCGGUGAAAUGCGUAGAUAUCUGGAGGAACACCGGUGGCGAAGGCGGCAUCCUGGACCGAGAUUGACGCUGAUGCGCGAAAGCCAGGGGAGCAAACGGG
RNAcentral lists this ribosomal RNA (253 nucleotides) under uncultured bacterium. RNAcentral's name for it is "partial 16S ribosomal RNA". It matches the Rfam family "Bacterial small subunit ribosomal RNA", at positions 524 to 776 of the family's 1533-position model. The record is from RNAcentral.